UUGCAGACGCCUUUAUUUCGUGCAUAAAUCGUUUUGGGCGACUAGACAUCGUCGUCAACAACACGGCUGACAUGGAGCUCGACGUAUCAAUCGACGAUCGGGACGAAAUGAACGAUGCGAUCAUGCGUGUUCACUAUGGUGGAGUGGUCAGUGGAACGCUUCUAGCAAUCAAGUACAUGGGAGCCCCGAACGGAGGCAGAGGCGGAACUGUGGUGCAGACCACGUGCUGCGGGUCGGCGACAAAUAACAUUGUCGGGUACACGAAAGUGAUCGGUGUAAGUUUAUUGAAAUGCAGUGGAGCAUGCAUGGUGAUGGGGUGGGUAGAUCACCCUACCCAUGGAAGUUGAACCUUGGUUUAUUUAGUUGUAUGUAUUUACAAUAAUUGUACCUAGGUACUCUAGUAUACAAUACAAUUUUGUAAAAUUAGAAUAAAUUAAAAAUAUUACUGAAAAAACAAAAC
Molecule: small RNA, 460 nt
Filed under: Acyrthosiphon pisum (pea aphid)
Lineage: Eukaryota; Metazoa; Arthropoda; Insecta; Hemiptera; Aphididae
Description: 15-hydroxyprostaglandin dehydrogenase [NAD+]-like
Source: RNAcentral